This 777-nucleotide ribosomal RNA is filed under the name Triticum aestivum (bread wheat). RNAcentral's name for it is "partial small subunit ribosomal RNA". The record is from RNAcentral. Lineage: Eukaryota; Viridiplantae; Streptophyta; Magnoliopsida; Poales; Poaceae.
AUGGAGGCUCUCAGCUCCAGCCGCUUCUCUAGCGCUUUCCCCAGCCUCCUCGACCACGUCCCCAAGGCGCCGAAGCCCCCGCGCCACGGCCGCCGUCGUUGUCUCCAGACGCUAGCCUCCGCGCCCGCCGAUGCCGCCGCGCCGUGUCCCUCGUCCUCGCCGCCGCUCUACCGGAUCCUGGCCGCCGCGCUGAGGGGAGGGCGCGCGCGGGGGGAGCUGCCCGACCUGGCUGCGGCAGGAGGAGGAGGCGGGGCGGGGAUAGGGACGCUGCUGAUGAGCACGACGGCGGCGGCGGUGACCAAGGCGCGGGAGAGCCCGUACCUGCUGGCGCUUGCGGCGAACCCGACGUUCGUGUCGGGGAUGGUGGCGUUCGCGGUGGCGCAGGCCGCCAAGGCCCUGCUCACCUCCGUGGUGGAGCGGCGGUGGAGCCUGCGGACGCUGUGCAGCUCCGGGGGCAUGCCCUCCUCGCACUCCGCGCUCUGCACCGCGCUCACCGCCUCCGUCGCGCUCUGCCACGGCGUCGGCGACGCGCUCUUCCCCGUCUGCCUCGGCUUCAGCCUCAUCGUCAUGUACGACGCCACCGGCGUCCGGCGCCACGCCGGGAUGCAGGCCGAGGUACUCAAUAAGAUCGUUGAGGACCUGUUCCAGGGCCACCCGAUCAGCGAAAGGAAGCUCAAGGAGCUGUUAGGGCACACCCCGUCGCAAGUCUUCGCCGGCGCAUUUCUGGGCAUCUUGGUGGCCUGGUUCUGCUGCCAGGGUUGUAUCGGUGCCAUCUGA